CCCUUAGAUGUCCUGGGCCGCACGCGCGCUACACUGACAUGUUCGACAAGCCUCCUAGUUCGACAGGAUUUGGGAAAUCUUUGAACGCAUGUCGUGAUAGGGAUAGAUCAUUGCAAUUAUUGAUCUUGAACGAGGAAUUCCUAGUAAACGCGAGUCAUCAGCUCGCAUUGAUUACGUCCCUGCCCUUUGUACACACCGCCCGUCGCACCUACCGAUUGAAUGUUUCGGUGAAGAUUCCGGAUAGGACUUUUUUGAUUUAUUUCAAUUUUGUCUUAAAAGCUAUCUAAACCUCAACAUUUAGAGGAAGGUGAAGUCGUAACA
Molecule: ribosomal RNA, 321 nt
Filed under: uncultured eukaryote
Lineage: Eukaryota
Description: partial 18S ribosomal RNA
Rfam family: Eukaryotic small subunit ribosomal RNA
Source: RNAcentral